Molecule: unclassified non-coding RNA, 273 nt
Filed under: Hevea brasiliensis (rubber tree)
Lineage: Eukaryota; Viridiplantae; Streptophyta; Magnoliopsida; Malpighiales; Euphorbiaceae
Source: RNAcentral
AAGGGGCAAAAGAAGUUCUGGAAUGCAUCAUAUCCACUAUGGGAUAACAGAACUAUUAUAUGUGGCAACUGUAACAAAACAUUUUGUCAUGUUACAGAAUUACAUUUAUCAGGGCAGCAUUUAUACGGGAGAAUACCUCAAGAAGUCGGAAAUAUUUCUCGUUUAACAAUAUUGGAUUUAAGCGGAAAUCAUCUUCGAGGAGAAAUUCCUAUAUCAAUUAUCAACCUACAAUUCAUUACUCAAAUAGAUCUUUCUGAUAACUCCUUGAGUGGG